AUUGAACGCUGGCGGCAGGCCUAACACAUGCAAGUCGAGCGGAUGAAGGGAGCUUGCUCCUGGAUUCAGCGGCGGACGGGUGAGUAAUGCCUAGGAAUCUGCCUGGUAGUGGGGGAUAACGUCCGGAAACGGGCGCUAAUACCGCAUACGUCCUGAGGGAGAAAGUGGGGGAUCUUGGGACCUCACGCUCUCAGAUGAGCCUAGGUCGGAUUAGCUAGUUGGUGGGGUAAAGGCCUACCAAGGCGACGAUCCGUAACUGGUCUGAGAGGAUGAUCAGCCACACUGGAACUGAGACACGGUCCAGACUCCUACGGGAGGCAGCAGUGGGGAAUAUUGGACAAUGGGCGAAAGCCUGAUCCAGCCAUGCCGCGUGUGUGAAGAAGGUCUUCGGAUUGUAAAGCACUUUAAGUUGGGAGGAAGGGCAGUAAGUUAAUACCUUGCUGUUUUGACGUUACCAACAGAAUAAGCACCGGCUAACUUCGUG
RNAcentral lists this ribosomal RNA (484 nucleotides) under uncultured bacterium. RNAcentral describes it as "partial 16S ribosomal RNA". It matches the Rfam family "Bacterial small subunit ribosomal RNA", at positions 30 to 507 of the family's 1533-position model. The record is from RNAcentral.